RNAcentral lists this ribosomal RNA (428 nucleotides) under uncultured delta proteobacterium. Its description in RNAcentral is "bacterial SSU rRNA". It matches the Rfam family "Bacterial small subunit ribosomal RNA", at positions 608 to 1029 of the family's 1533-position model. Lineage: Bacteria; Deltaproteobacteria. The record is from RNAcentral.
CUCAACCCUGGACGUGCAUCUGAAACUGGUGAGCUUGAGUAUGGGAGAGGAAAGUGGAAUUCCCGGUGUAGAGGUGAAAUUCGUAGAUAUCGGGAGGAAUACCUGAGGCGAAGGCGACUUUCUGGACCAAUACUGACGCUGAGGUGCGAAAGCGUGGGAAGCGAACAGGAUUAGAUACCCUGGUAGUCCACAGCUGUAAACGAUGUGCACUAGAUGCUGGGGGAGUUGACCCCUUCAGUGUCGAAGCUAACGCGAUAAGUGCACCGCCUGGGGAGUACGGCCGCAAGGUUAAAACUCAAAGGAAUUGACGGGGGCCCGCACAAGCGGUGGAGUAUGUGGUUUAAUUCGAUGCAACGCGAAGAACCUUACCUGGUCUUGACAUCCCGGGGAUUUUCUGGAAACAGGAGAGUGCUUUUAACGAAGAGCCC